GUUUGGUCCUAGCCUUACUGUCAAGUCUUACUUAACUUACACAUGCAAGUCUCCGCACCCCGGUGAGAACGCCCUAAAACUCCUUCUAGGAUAACGGAGCUGGUAUCAGGCUCAACCUGUUUGCCCACGACACCUAGCCACGCCACACCCCCAAGGGAACUCAGCAGUGAUUAACAUUAAAAAUUAGCGACAGCUAGAUUUAGUUAAAGUAAUUAGGGCUGGCAAAUCUGGUGCCAGCCGCCGCGGCUACACCACGAAACCCAAUUUGACAGUCAUCGGCGUAAAGCGUGAUUAAAGCGCACAAUAAUACUAGAGUUAAAUCUUAGCUAUACUGUGAUAAGUUUGCUACUUAGAAACCCAAGAACGAAAGUCACUCUAUUUUCCCCACUUGAACUCACGACAGCUGAGAAACAAACUGAGAUUAGAUACCUCACUAUGCUCAGCCGUAAACCCUUUAAUUACCCACCCAAUC
RNAcentral lists this ribosomal RNA (472 nucleotides) under Notaden melanoscaphus. RNAcentral describes it as "partial 12S ribosomal RNA". Lineage: Eukaryota; Metazoa; Chordata; Amphibia; Anura; Limnodynastidae. The record is from RNAcentral.